Molecule: ribosomal RNA, 443 nt
Filed under: uncultured bacterium
Lineage: Bacteria
Description: partial 16S ribosomal RNA
Rfam family: Bacterial small subunit ribosomal RNA
Source: RNAcentral
CCUACGGGUGGCAGCAGUGGGGAAUAUUGGGCAAUGGAGGCAACUCUGACCCAGCAACGCCGCGUGAAUGAUGAAGGUCUUCGGAUUGUAAAGUUCCGUGAUGGGGGAUGAACACAAUGACGGUACCCCAAUAGCAAGCCACGGCUAAAUACGUGCCAGCAGCCGCGGCAAUACGGAGGUGGCAAGCGUUAUCCGGAAUGACUGGGGGUAAAGGGUGCGUAGGUGGUUUAGUAAGUUGGCGGUGUAAUUCCGGGGCUCAACCUCGGCGCUACCGCUAAUACUGUUCGACUAGAGUGCAGGAGGGGUAGGUGGAAUUCCUGGUGUAGCGGUGGAAUGCGUAGAUAUUAGGAAGAACAUCAGGGGCGAAGGCGACUUACUGGACUGUAACUGACGCUGAGGCACGAAAGCGUGGGGAGCAAACAGGAUUAGAUACCCUGGUAGUC